RNAcentral lists this ribosomal RNA (472 nucleotides) under uncultured bacterium. RNAcentral describes it as "partial 16S ribosomal RNA". It matches the Rfam family "Bacterial small subunit ribosomal RNA", at positions 28 to 507 of the family's 1533-position model. The record is from RNAcentral.
GACGAACGCUGGCGGCGUGCUUAACACAUGCAAGUCGAACGCUGAAGCUUGGUGCUUGCACUGGGUGGAUGAGUGGCGAACGGGUGAGUAAUACGUGAGUAACCUGCCCUUGACUCUGGGAUAAGCCUGGGAGACUGGGUCUAAUACUGGAUACGACAUGUCACCGCAUGGUGGUGUGUUGAAAGGGGUUUACUGGUUGUGGAUGGGCUGACGGCCUAUCAGCUUGUUGGUGGGGUAAUGGCGCACCAAGGCGACGACGGGUAGCCGGCCUGAGCGGGUGAGCGGCCACACUGGGACUGAGACAAGGCACAGACUACUCCGGGAGGCAGCAGUGGGGAAUAUUGUACAAUGGGCGGAAGCAUGAUGCAGCGAAGCCGCGUGAGGGAUGACGGCAUUCGGGUUGUAAACCUCUUUCAGCAUGGAAGAAGCGAAAGUGACGGUACGUGCAGAAGAAGCGCCGGCUAACUACGUG